This 253-nucleotide ribosomal RNA is filed under the name uncultured bacterium. RNAcentral describes it as "partial 16S ribosomal RNA". It matches the Rfam family "Bacterial small subunit ribosomal RNA", at positions 524 to 776 of the family's 1533-position model. The record is from RNAcentral.
UACGGAGGAUCCAAGCGUUAUCCGGAUUUAUUGGGUUUAAAGGGUGCGUAGGCGGCUUAUUAAGUCAGAGGUGAAAGACGGUGGCUCAACCAUCGCAGUGCCUUUGAUACUGAUGAGCCUGAAUAGACCUGAGGUAGGCGGAAUGUGACAAGUAGCGGUGAAAUGCAUAGAUAUGUCACAGAACACCAAUUGCGAAGGCAGCUUACUAAAGUCUGAUUGACGCUGAGGCACGAAAGCGUGGGGAUCAAACAGG